RNAcentral lists this transfer RNA (76 nucleotides) under Caudoviricetes sp. RNAcentral's name for it is "tRNA-Met". It matches the Rfam family "tRNA". From Rfam's summary of the family: Transfer RNA (tRNA) molecules are approximately 80 nucleotides in length. Their secondary structure includes four short double-helical elements and three loops (D, anti-codon, and T loops). Further hydrogen bonds mediate the characteristic L-shaped molecular structure. tRNAs have two regions of fundamental functional importance: the anti-codon, which is responsible for specific mRNA codon recognition, and the 3' end, to which the tRNAs corresponding amino acid is attached (by aminoacyl-tRNA synthetases). tRNAs cope with the degeneracy of the genetic code in two manners: having more than one tRNA (with a specific anti-codon) for a particular amino acid; and 'wobble' base-pairing, i.e. permitting non-standard base-pairing at the 3rd anti-codon position. Lineage: Duplodnaviria; Heunggongvirae; Uroviricota; Caudoviricetes. The record is from RNAcentral.
UGCGGGAUAGAGUAGUUGGCAGCUCGCUAGCCUCAUAAGCUAGAGGUCACAAGUUCGAGUCUUGUUCCUGCAACCA